GCGCAGCUAUACAUGCAGUCGAGCGAAUGGAUUAAGAGCUUGCUCUUAUGAAGUUAGCGGCGGACGGGUGAGUAACACGUGGGUAACCUGCCCAUAAGACUGGGAUAACUCCGGGAAACCGGGGCUAAUACCGGAUAACAUUUUGAACCGCAUGGUUCGAAAUUGAAAGGCGGCUUCGGCUGUCACUUAUGGAUGGACCCGCGUCGCAUUAGCUAGUUGGUGAGGUAACGGCUCACCAAGGCAACGAUGCGUAGCCGACCUGAGAGGGUGAUCGGCCACACUGGGACUGAGACACGGCCCAGACUCCUACGGGAGGCAGCAGUAGGGAAUCUUCCGCAAUGGACGAAAGUCUGACGGAGCAACGCCGCGUGAGUGAUGAAGGCUUUCGGGUCGUAAAACUCUGUUGUUAGGGAAGAACAAGUGCUAGUUGAAUAAGCUGGCACCUUGACGGUACCUAACCAGAAAGCCACGGCUAACUACGUGCCAGCAGCCGCGGUAAUACGUAGGUGGCAAGCGUUAUCCGGAAUUAUUGGGCGUAAAGCGCGCGCAGGUGGUUUCUUAAGUCUGAUGUGAAAGCCCACGGCUCAACCGUGGAGGGUCAUUGGAAACUGGGAGACUUGAGUGCAGAAGAGGAAAGUGGAAUUCCAUGUGUACCGGUGAAAUGCGUAGAGAUAUCGAGGAACACCAGUGGCCAAGGCUACUUUCUGGGCUGUAACUGACACUUUGGCGCGAAAGCCUGGGGAGCCCACAGGGUUAAAUACCCUGGUACUCCACGCCGAAAACGAU
Molecule: ribosomal RNA, 786 nt
Filed under: Bacillus cereus
Lineage: Bacteria; Bacillati; Bacillota; Bacilli; Caryophanales; Bacillaceae
Description: bacterial SSU rRNA
Rfam family: Bacterial small subunit ribosomal RNA
Source: RNAcentral